Sander lucioperca (pikeperch) is the source of this 148-nucleotide long non-coding RNA. RefSeq lists it as uncharacterized. NCBI's taxonomy places the organism in Eukaryota, Metazoa, Chordata, Actinopteri, Perciformes, Percidae. The transcript has 2 exons. The record is from RefSeq and is a predicted model, not a curated record.
GAGAGAGAGAGAGAGAGGUAGAGAGAGAGAGAGAGAGAGAGAGAGAGAGAGAGAGAGAGAGAGAGCUGAUGGUGAGCAUGUACGGAGAUGUGAAUAACCUGAUUUCUCUGUGUGCCAUGUAGCCUAAACAUCACAUCCUGAAUAUGAU